CAGGAAAUUUGGUGCCUCAAAUUUCCUGGUGCCCUACACAACUGCGUACUUUGCAUAUGGAUAAGGAUGGCCCUGCUUGGCAGCACCACCAUGGCAACCCCAGCUCGUGAUGUUUUGAAUCUGCAAAUAACCUGAGAUUCUUUGCAAAAAGUACAGUGAGUCUCACACACCAAGGCAGACCGUCAUCAUGGUGUGGAGCGGAACUCUUGACUUUCAGCUGAGCACAGUAACAUUACACGCUCCCUAAUGAUCAUCCCAUUCAGUUACCCUCCUCCACACAACGCCCACAACAAAGUGAUUACCAAUGGCUGAGAAUCACCAACCAAGCUGCUUCAAACCAGCUUUGCCGGGAACACCCUGGGCGGUCACUCUAAGUAACGUUCAGGGCAAAGGCAGAAACCAAAUGCAAAACAACUGUAGUGGAUUCCCCAGAUGAAGUCUCAUCCAGUCCUCAUGGGCAAAGAUAGUGGCUAAGUCUGCACAACAGCUGGGCAGGCACUUCCCAGCAAGGCUAGACAGACACAUGCUGAUGCUUGAGUUAGCAUGCUAAAAAUAGCAGCUACCCACCCACAUAGAAUCCCGCCUGCCCCCCUGCACACAUACGCAGGCAUCUCGCCUGAGCCAUGACCACACUGCAAUUCAGUGGCUGUAUAGCAGAGCCUGGCAUGUUUGGGGAAAGGGCAGGGAAAUGGGAGAGGGCAAGGCUUGAAACGGAGAAAAAUAGGGGACUGCUCAGAGAAGUGAAAACCCCAGAGAGGGGGGAAGUCCAUGCAGGAAUGCAGUCAUGGGAUCAGCAGGCAGGUAAAGCCAGCUCUGCUUACAGGCUCUGGGAGUCAUAGAAAUGUGAGGCUGGAAGGGACCUGGAGAGGGCAUCCAGUCCAGCCCCUUGUGCUGAGGCAGGACCAAAUAAACUUAGGGUAUGUCUACACUACGGAAUAAGGUCGAAUUUAUAGAAGUUGGUUUUCUAGAAAUCGGUUUUAUAUAUUCGAGUGUGUGUGUCCCCACAGAAAAUGCUCUAAGUGCAUUAAGUGCAUUAACUUGGCGGAGUGCUUCACAGUACCAAGGCAAGCGUCAACUUCCGGAGCAUUGCACUGUGGGUAACUAUCCCACAGUUCCCGCAGUCUCCGCUGCCCAUUGGAAUUCUGGGUUGAGAUUCCCAAUGCCUGAUGGGGCUAAAAUAUUGUCGCGGGUGGUUCUGGGUACAUAUCAUCAGGCCCCCGUUCCCUCCCUCCCUCCCUCCCUCCGUGAAAGCAAGGGCAGACAAUCGCUUCGCGCCUUUUUUCCUGCGUUACCUGUGCAGACGCUAUACCAUGGCAAGCAUGGAGCCCGCUCAGGUAACCGUCACCGUAUGUCUCCUGGGUGCCGGCAGACGUGGUACGGCAUUGCUACACAAUAGCAGCAACCCCUUGCCUUGUGGCAGCAGAUGGUGUAAUAUGACUGGUAGCCGUCAUCGUCGUGUCCAAGGUGCUCCUGGCCACAUCGGCUGGGAGCGUCUGGGCAGACAUGGGCGCAGGGACUAAAUUUGGAGUGACUUGACCAGGUCAUUCUCUUUAGUCCUGCAGUCAGUCCUAUUGAACCGUCUUAUGGUGAGCAGGCAGGUGAUACGGAUUGCGAGCAGUCCUAUUGCACCGUCUUCUGCUGAGCAGCCAUGAGAAGUGGAUGGCAUGCAGUCCUUCUGCACUGUCUGCUGCUAGCCAAAGAUGUAAAAGAUAGAUGGAGUGGAUCAAAACAAGAAAUAGACCAGAUUUGUUUUGUACUCAUUUGCCUCCUCCCCCAUCUAGGGGACUCAUUCCUCUAGGUCACACUGCAGUCACUCACAGGGAAGGUGCAGCGAGGUAAAUCUAGCCGUGUAUCAAUCAGAGGCCAGACUAACCUCCUUGUUCCAAUCAGAACAAUAACUUAGGUGCACCAUUUCUUAUUGGAACCCUCCGUGAAGUCCUGCCUGAAAUACUCCUUGAUGUAAAGCCACCCCCUUUGUUGAUUUUAGCUCCCUGAAGCCAACUCUGAAAGCCGUGUCGUCAAUCGCCCCUCCCUCCUUCAGAGCAACGGCAGACAAUCGUUCCGCGCCUUUUUUCUGUGCGGACGCCAUACCAAGGCAAGCAUGGAGGCCGCUCAGCUCACUUUGGCAAUUAGGAGCACAUUCAACACCACACGCAUUAUCCAGCAGUAUAUGCAGCACCAGAACCUGGCAAAGCGAUACCGAGCGAGGAGGCGACGUCAGCGCGGUCACGUGAGUGAUCAGGACAUGGACACAUUUUUCUCUGAAAGCAUGGGCCCUGCCAACGCAUGCAUCAUGGUGCUAAUGGGGCAGGCUCAUGCUGUGGAACGCCGAUUCUGGGCUGGGGAAACAAGCACAGACUGGUGGGACCGCAUAGUGUUGCAGGUCUGGGACGAUUCCCAGUGGCUGCGAAACUUUCGCAUGCGUAAGGGCACUUUCAUGGAACUUUGUGACUUGGGGACCCAGCCUAUCCCUUAACGCCAUGGCUCAUGAAGCCGUACACAGGCAUCCUGGGCAGUAGUCAGGAGCUGUUCAACUACAGGCUGAGCAAGUGCAGAAUGGUGGUAGAAUGUGCAUUUGGACGUUUAAAGGCGCGCUGGUGCAGUUUACUGACUCGCUUAGACCUCAGCGAAACCAAUAUUCCCACUGUUAUUACUGCUUGCUGUGUGCUCCACAAUAUCUGUGAGAGUAAGGAGGAGACGUUUAUGGCGGGGUGGGAGGUUGAGGCAAAUCGCCUGGCUGCUGGUUACGCGCAGCCAGACACCAGGGUGGUUAGAAGAGCACAGGAGGGCGCGGUACGCAUCAGAGAAGCUUUGAAAACCAGUUUCAUGACUGGCCAGGCUACGGUGUGAAAGUUCUGUUUGUUUCUCCUUGAUGAAACCCCCCGCCCCUUGGUUCACUCUACUUCCCUGUAAGCUAACCACCCUCCCCUCCUCCCUUAGAUCACCGCUUGCAGAGGCAAUAAAGUCAUUGUUGCUUCACA
Caretta caretta (loggerhead turtle) is the source of this 2981-nucleotide non-coding RNA. Lineage: Eukaryota; Metazoa; Chordata; Testudines; Cheloniidae. The record is from RefSeq and is a predicted model, not a curated record.